GUGGCUGAUUUAGGUGGUGAGCUGUAGAUUCACUUAAGGAGGAACCUCCCCUGGCCG
This 57-nucleotide transfer RNA is filed under the name Bronchocela burmana (Burmese green crested lizard). RNAcentral's name for it is "partial tRNA-Tyr". Lineage: Eukaryota; Metazoa; Chordata; Lepidosauria; Squamata; Agamidae. The record is from RNAcentral.